RNAcentral lists this long non-coding RNA (363 nucleotides) under Elaeis guineensis (African oil palm). RNAcentral's name for it is "long non-coding RNA (EGUI_LNC063150)". The record is from RNAcentral. Lineage: Eukaryota; Viridiplantae; Streptophyta; Magnoliopsida; Arecales; Arecaceae.
AUAACAGUAAUCUCUUCCUGAUUUUAACAUAAUCACCUCCGUUAUCAUUGUUUGCUGAUUAUCUGCUGCAUUGUUAUUAAUCUUGUUUGCUUGUAUCCUCUAGAACUAGCCUCGUCCCACAUCAGAUCAAAGUCAGACAGAGUGCUUCUUUUACAAGAAGCAGGAUCACUGGAAGAGGAAUUGUCCUCAAUAUAUCAUUUUUCUUGACCCAAACAGGCCAAAGAAGAAGAAGCAAUCAGUUGCUGGAUAAGGUACUUAUGUGAUAACACCUUGUAACUUCUUUCUUAUAGAUACAAUGACCUGGGUGUUGGAUACUGAAAGCCCUAUUCAUAUUUGCAAUUCGUUACAGGAUCUUCAAAUCAC